Molecule: ribosomal RNA, 406 nt
Filed under: uncultured bacterium
Lineage: Bacteria
Description: partial 16S ribosomal RNA
Rfam family: Bacterial small subunit ribosomal RNA
Source: RNAcentral
CUUGAACGCUGGCGGCAGGCCUAACACAUGCAAGUCGAACGCGUGGCGGACGGGUGAGUAAUGUCUGGGAAACUGCCUGAUGGAGGGGGAUAACUACUGAAAACGGUAGCUAAUACCGCAUACCAUCAGAUGUUCCCCGCUGGGAUUAGCUAGUUGGUGGGGUAACGGCUGACCAAGGCGACGAGCCCUAGCUGGUCUGAGAGGAUGACCAGCCACAAGGGAACUGAGACACGGUCCAGACUACGACGGGAGGCAGCAGGGGGGAAUAUUGCACAAUGGGCGAAAGCCUGAUGCAGUAAUGCCGCGUGUAUGAAGAAGGCCUUCGGGUUGUAAAGUACUGGAAGCGGGGAGGCGUUACCCGAAGAAGAAGCACCGGCUAACUCCGUGCCAGCAGCCGCGGUAAUAC